Molecule: long non-coding RNA, 3060 nt
Filed under: Salvia miltiorrhiza (redroot sage)
Lineage: Eukaryota; Viridiplantae; Streptophyta; Magnoliopsida; Lamiales; Lamiaceae
Description: long non-coding RNA (SMIL_LNC007181)
Source: RNAcentral
CUUUUUGUGCCGCUUCUUUGAAUGUUGAGCAUUCUAUAUCAUUAACCGUCAAUAAAUGUUGGAAAGAGGUUGGUCCCCUAACAUGAUUCAACAGUAGUUUUGUCACAGCCCGGCCUAAGCUAGUGUAUAGUUAAGCCGGGGAAAGAUGUGUGACUGGGGAAAGGGAGAAAGAAAAUGCAAAAACAAAAGAGGUUUCAAUAAUAAUAGUAAUAAUAUAAUAAACCUGCUUUAACAACAAUGUACCGUAUGGUCUGGUACAAUAAGCAAUCACGUUUAUAAACUAGUAAGUAGACAACUUACAACAAUAGAACAACAAGUUGUCCAAGUAUCAAGUGACAAUUCUCAAAGCUAUUAAGUUGCAAUCUUUACAACACGACCACAGAGUAAAAUACUCUAAGUGUUGUAGCGGAAUAACUUAAGUGGAUUACAUGUAUGAAGACAUGAAAUCCUGAGCCUAAUUUAAUACAUAUACAUCAAGACUUUGCUCUGCUCGCUUCCAUCUACACCGCAGCUUAACCUGCAUAUUUAGAAACAUACGCAGGGCUGAGUACCCAAAAGCACUCAGUGGUCAUGCCGAAAUAACUUUAAAGCUUGCUCUUAGAGCUAUAUNGUCACAGCCCGGCCUAAGCUAGUGUAUAGUUAAGCCGGGGAAAGGUGUGACUGGGAAAGGGAGUAAGAAAUAGACAAAAGAAAGAGAUUUACAAUAAUAAUAAUGAACCCGCUUUAACGAUGUAAUUACUUUAAUAGUAGGAUAAUCAUAAGACAAUCACUUUUAAACUCAUGAGUAGACAACUCACAAUACACAACGACAAGUUGUCUAACUUUCAAGUGAUAUAAUUCUCAAAGCUAUUGAUUUAAAAUAUGUACAACACAUCAACAAAGUAGAAUAGACUGAGUGUUGCAGCGGAAUAAUUCAUGUGGAUUACAUGUAUGAAGACAUGGAAUCCUGAGCCUAAUUUAAUAUACUCUGAAGGCUUUGCUCUGCUUGCUUCCAUCUACAUCACAGCUUAACCUGCAUAUUUAGAAACAUACGCAGGGCUGAGUACCAAAUAGCACUCAGUGGUUACAUGCCGAAAUAACUUUAAACUUGCUCUUAGAGCUAUAUAUUGAACUUGUCAUCUCAAGCAUCACACAGGAGUUUUAUUUAAAUAACCUGUGCAUGCAAAACUGUAAAACUUCUCGAUAAUCAUCAUAACAUCAUAUACGUCUGCAGACAAUGAACAUGUAUGUACCAUAUCUACGCAUCAUAUAACUCUGAGUGUUGAGAAGUAGGCCUCCUUCUCAAACACGAUGACAAGCUAACUCAAAGGUUAACUGUCAACUCUGUGUACACAAAUCCUGACUCGCUCAGGACCCGAAUUCGUUCUUCUAUGUAGAUGGUAUCAUACAAAUCUCAAAUAUUGGCAAGUCAAUAAUUUGAAAACAAAUGCAUACACUCAAACUUUGUAUUAAAGUAUGCAUCUUUAACUGUUGAGUUAGUAAGCCCACCUGAUACGCUUAAUGAAAUAGAAGUCCUUGCUUGUUCAUUCUACACUGCCACUCGAACCUUCAUUGUAAUGAGGUUCCCAUGUAAGAUUGGAUAAUAAGUAAGUAAAUAGAAAGUAAAUCUUGAAUGAAACUUCUAUCACUUGAAAGUUGCAUCCUCUAAUCUGAGUAUUCUACUUAUAUAGACUUAACUAAAAGCAAAUAGUAACAUCACAUCUCUUUGGAUAUCUCAUUGGAGAAAGCUUAAGAGUAAACUAAUCCAUUCUAUAUAGAUUAGCUUACAAUUAAUAACUGAAAACAUCAAUCACUUAGCAUUGUUCUAUUCAUAACUUGCUCAAGUAAGAAAUCUCAAAUAUGUAAUCAUAUAUGAAUCUCAACUUUGAAAUAUCAUAUAAAAUCAACCUCUUUAAAGAAAAAUACAAGCUUUACAUUUUUAGAAAUCUCUCAAAGUCUAUUUUUAUUAGAAAGUUACAAAAACACAAUACACCAAGUGUGUGAGAAGUUAUAUCACGAAAGGCAAAAUCUGCCACUGAACUUCGCUGCUUCACGCAGUACAUUUCAGAAAAUCGUUUGACACAUCUAAAGGUCUCGGAUUUAGCUGAAAUUUUACAGAAACGUACUACUCAUGAUAAAGUUAUUACAGUAAAAAUUUCAAGUUAUUUGGACUACGAAAACAUCAUCAAAAGUACCCCGAAACAUACUGUUCUGUCCAACCCGAAAACUGACAGCAAUGCUCAUUGACAUAUCACUCAUAUUUUUCUCAAAUAACAGCUAUAGGAACUCAAAUACAUCAUCUUAAUACACAUUAGCAUGCUUUAGCUUAACUUAAUUCAUGUUCAACACAUCAACAUAUAGUAGCAUGCUUAAUAUCCUCCAAUUAUUAUCAUAUAAUCUCAUUUUACAACUCAAAGAGUACAAUUACACAAGCAUCAAACAUGUAGCUAUCUUAUAUCAAGAAUUCCCAAAUCCAUUGAAACUAAACUAUUAGAAAAUCAUGAUUUCUUGCAAAUAGAAACUCAAAUAAAUCUCAAUGAUUCCCUCACAAACAUAUAAAUAUAUAUACGCAGCCAAUUGAUGGAAAUAAAGAAGAUGAAAUUCUAGGGUUCUUGAGGGAGUCAAAAAUCGAAUCUUUGGGGUAGGGUUUUGAUUUAUUUCAUCAUACUACUUAAUUCUAAACAAUUACUAACUUGAAACAUGUAGUAAUCAACAUGAUACAAGAGGCAAAAUCGUUUUCUUCCACAACAGCCUAUUUCUCGAAAUAGCAAGAAGAAGAGAUAGGAGAAUUUUCUUCGAUUCUACUAUCAAUAAGACUUAAUCCAAGAUUUCUCACCUUAAUAUACGUUUCUGGAUGAAUAUAGGUGUGAUUUUUGGAGUGAUUCUUGGAGCUUGGCUAGAAAGAGAAAAACUCAAAAUGAAGAACAGAGGAAGGGACCGAGACUUGCAGGGGAAGAAGAAAAUAUUUGGCUUUUCUCAUAAGUCUUGUUUGGCGGCUGCCCUAACAAGAAUUAAAAUAAUUUGGACAAUAUAAUUCCUUAAAGCCUACGAAAGGCUUGAUCAUGAUCCAAGUAUGAAAAA